UUUUUUUUUUUUUUGGUGUUACUUUAUUUGGUUCAUAUAUCUACCACCCAAUCCCUUCUGUCCCCUUAGGUAGGAGAGAAAGAAGGUUAGAAGAGAAAGGGGGCAUAGACCUCUUCAGACUACUUCUUGCUGAUUAGGGGUGUCAAGUUCCUUGGGACAAGACCAACUUUUUUCUUCUCAUCUCUUUGCUCAUCGCCACUUGACAAACUACAGCAACAGGAAGCAGCAGCAGGCUCCUCAGAGCACACGUGCAUGCCUGGUCCCUCUAGGGGCUCUGACAUUUACACCCACUCAAAAGUUCCCAGAAUUCCAAAUGUCACACACUCACAGAAACUAUCUGCAGCUGGCGAAACCACACCCUUACUAGAGCGCCAGGCAAACUAUAAUCACCUGGUGUGAGGCAGCCUCUUAUCCCACACCUGGGAUUAAAACAAAAACAUAUUCAUAUAACUGGGUUUUUACAGAAACCAAAAAUCUCACUACACGUAUGCUCUUGUGUUGCCAUUGUAACUAUCCACAGACCUCUUGUGCUCUUCCUGUGUUGAAAAUUAUGCACCCUUUAAACAGCACUCCCUCCUUUCCCAACUCUUGGUGACCAACAUUCUAUUUGUGUCUCCAUGACUUCUACUUGUUUAAGGGUCUCAUUCAAGUGGAGUUAUACAGUGCUUAUGCCUUUGUAUCUGUGAUGGUUGGUUUUAAUGAUCAACUUGACACGACUUAGAAUCAUCUGGGAAGGGAGGCUCAAUAGUGAGAUCAGGUCUAGAUCAGGUUAGCUCAUGGGUUUGCCUAUGAGAUACUGCUUACUGUCUUGGUUCUAUUACCAAGUGAGGAGACCCAUCCACUGUGGGAGGUACCAUUCCCUAGUCGGAGGAUGCUGGGCGGGGUAAUAGUGGAGAACAUGAAUUGAACACUAGCAUGCCUGCAUUUAUUGUUCUCUGAGCCUGAUUAUGGCUGUGACAUGACUUCCUCCCUUAAGUUCUUGUCACUGUGACUUGUCAACUGUGAAGGACUGUAAUAUGAAACUGUGAGCUGAAAUAAAACCCUUUCUCCU
RNAcentral lists this long non-coding RNA (1051 nucleotides) under Mus musculus (house mouse). Its description in RNAcentral is "long non-coding RNA chr4:127428276-127429327". The record is from RNAcentral. Lineage: Eukaryota; Metazoa; Chordata; Mammalia; Rodentia; Muridae.